CUGGUCUGAGAAGUCUUCUCCAUCCUCAGAAGCGAUUACAAAUAGUAAUGAUGACAAAACCCAGAGAAUUUUUGCUUUAUUUUGAAAAUAAUUGUUUUGUGUUGCAUGAUGGCACUUCCUGCCUAUCUCCAGGGUCACCUGGCAGCGAUUUACUAGCCUCCUGCUGUCGAAUUCCUAUCAAGCAAGGGCAUCUGCAAGCUCAUUUGAAAAGGAAGCUGUUCCCUGUAAGCUUUCUGUGGGCUGAGCUAACGUCUCUGAACAGACUGGAUUAAGUCCAAAGGACGCAAUUAAAUACUUCUUUGACCAGUGGGUUUUGCUGCAGGAAUGGAAGUGGCCGAACAGUGUGCGCAGGUCCAUACUUUGGUUCUUUUGUUGUCUCAUCUUGGUGCUAAGCUUCCUGCCUGGCUGCAGCGUCUCAGAUGGGAAUCACCUUUCUGUUGGUGGAAAAAUUGAGUUCCCUUCCCAACAAAUCAAUAAUGCAAGCUUGGACAGCAGUGCUUGAAAAGGAGAGCUGCCACAGUGUAUCAUGGAGUUUCUUCAGAAAGGUCUCAUGCCUUCGUAAGGCUCCAUCAAGACAAAUCUCUGCACCAGCACAGAGCUUUUGGGAAAAAUCAAGCUCCAGGAUAGAAAUUCACCCCUCCAUCUUCAUUUCUCCAGGGCUGCCUUUACAGGCAGGCACAGUUGGUAGCUCCCUGCAGUAGCAGACUGCUGGGGCUGGCAGACUGCCUUCUUUGCUCACCAGCUGUUUGAAC
This 752-nucleotide long non-coding RNA is filed under the name Struthio camelus australis. RNAcentral describes it as "lncRNA (ENSSCUG00000017745.1)". The record is from RNAcentral. Lineage: Eukaryota; Metazoa; Chordata; Aves; Struthioniformes; Struthionidae.